Molecule: unclassified non-coding RNA, 89 nt
Filed under: Pseudomonas thivervalensis
Lineage: Bacteria; Pseudomonadati; Pseudomonadota; Gammaproteobacteria; Pseudomonadales; Pseudomonadaceae
Source: RNAcentral
UGUGGGAGCGAGCUUGCUCGCGAUGGCGGUGGAUCUGUCACAUGCAUGUUGACUGACAGGCCGCCAUCGCGAGCAAGCUCGCUCCCACA